CUUAAUAACUGGAGGUUAAGCCAGUGGUGUAGAGUGGUCUCACUAUUAGUUACUGUUUGUCAUGCAAGGAUAUGAUGGAAAUUCAUGGUCCGUGUUAUUGAUAUUAUAUGAUAAGUCUAUAUAACCAUAUCUGAUCUUUGCAAUCAUUGGCGGAAUAGUGCGUGUCGAAAGCUGCGUGACUAGCAUCUUGAGAGGUUGCUUGAAUGUGAUUUUCAUUUUUAUUUAAAGGUCCGAAGUGUAAAGAUGACUGCUAAAGAUAAAUCACUGCUGCAUUACAUAGCAGUGGUGCUGUGGUACUGAGUGGAAAGGAAUCCUUGCAAACCUGUGUGUGAUAAUAAUGGAGAACACUAUAUGUCAGAGCCACAACUGAGGGAUUUUGCAAUGACCACAUUCAAGGUUUCAACAUGAGCACUAAGUGGAGAGGGAUUUCCUGUAGUUGCUUAUCAACCAUAAAACAUCCAAGGGAUCAACGUGACCACAAAGUGGAGAACGAUUUCCUGUAGUUGCUUAUCAACCAUAAAAGAUCGAAAAUGGAAAGUGGCCACAACUACUCCCCUUCCUGCAUUAGAGACAGUUGCAGCUGUCUGAAUGGAUAUGUUAUAUUGGCCAUCCAAGAUCGAAAAUGGAAAGUGGCCACAACUACUUCCCUUCCCACAUUAGAGAAGAAUGGAUAUGUUAUAUCAGCCAUCCAAUGUCUGGAACAGGAUUACUGAAGGCUGAAGUGCUACUGGUUAUAAUGCUAAUCAUAUUGAGCUGCGAGGUGUAGCUCUUCAAGCCAGCAGAAUCGGAAAGUACAACAAUGAUGGCAAUUGCGCUAAUGUGGUCAGCAUGUACUGCCUUACUUGUCUUGCUGACUGUUGGAAUCCAUGGCCUUUGUCUGCCUCUUCAUCCAGUUAAUGUAUUGGUAGUACUUCAGAGGGUAAUUGCCUCGUGUUGAUUGUAUCGUUUCCUUAUCCUGUUAUCUAUGUUAGACAAUAAUAAAUAGCUGCAUCGAAGAGAUCAUGUAAAUGUAAUUGAGCAUAAAUGCUUGCGCAAACAUGUAAGAAAAUUACAGUGGGAAACAAUUGAAAUUAAACAAUAAGGCAACGAAUGAGCCUAGUAAGGCAUUGGCUCUUGGAAAAUGACAUUGUUGUGUGUCUGUUACGUUUGUUGAUUAUUGUAAUAAAUGUAUUACUGUGAUCGUGUC
Molecule: long non-coding RNA, 1186 nt
Organism: Priapulus caudatus
Lineage: Eukaryota; Metazoa; Priapulida; Priapulimorpha; Priapulimorphida; Priapulidae
Exons: 8
Source: RefSeq, a predicted model, not a curated record